RNAcentral lists this long non-coding RNA (1041 nucleotides) under Cavia porcellus (domestic guinea pig). RNAcentral describes it as "lncRNA (ENSCPOG00000031904.1)". The record is from RNAcentral. Lineage: Eukaryota; Metazoa; Chordata; Mammalia; Rodentia; Caviidae.
UGAAUUCUCACUCUAACAAGGGUCAAUUCUGAAAAGAAAGAGAGAUGACCGAUUUUUAUUUCCCUAACUCUUUCCAGAUGUGUCUUUCUCUGUCUCUGACUCUUUUUUUGCCUCUGUCUCUUUCUCUCUCAGCAUAGGUGAUGGGUACUUUCAGGCAGGAGUAGCUACUGUAAGCUAAGUUCCUCUAAAUGCAGUAGUGGAGAAGAACUCAAGACUCUGCGUGGCAAGAUACUUGCUUUGCGAGCCAGUUGUGUCUUGGUUCCCAGGAGACAGUUGAGACAACGUUCCCAAGGCUUCAAAGAGGAGUGUGCAGAAAGCCUCUGUCCCCAGCGCUGUGGGAAAUCCUCCGCUGUCAGUCCCCCCUGCUCUGUCCAGUGUUCUGCGUUCUACACAAGCAAUUCUCAGCACAAUGCCGCCAGAAUAAAGGAGCCAGUGAAACGGGCUGCCAAGGUUCUGCUGUCCACACCCAACUGCUGCUUCUGAGCUCCACCGUUCACAGACUGCUUUAGCUCUUGCUCAAAGAAAAGAAAAGAGAAGUAAAACCCAAGCUUACAGCAGUGGUGAGACUGUCCCGAGGGAGUCCUCAGAGACUGUGCUGAGCCAUAACCUGUUCUGACAAGACCAUCGGCUUCCAGGGCAGAGAUGACCUCGUUGUAAAAAGUUGAAAGAACAGCAUUGAACCAGCUUUAUUUGGAGGAACUUACCUGGCACAAUCACAUAUAAACAUACAUUUACAUUUUUAGUCCCUUUAUCAUUAUUAAUCAAAAACAUUACUGCUUCUGUUGAGCUGGACCUCCAUCUAAUUGACACAGGUUUGCAUGACAGGAAUAUUUCCCUCAACUGUUACAAAUUCUACAGUUGCUGACAAUUCAAUUCUGAAAUGAGUCAUGGCUCAGCAGUGGCAGGUUGUUUUUAAAGCUAAUCUGUAGGGAUAUGAAAAAAUCCAGGGGAUCUCAAGGUUGUGGACCUGCUGCUGUUUUGCAAAUGCUACAGGGUUGGCCCUCUGAUCCCUUGGCCUCUUCAUUUUCAGGCUGAAACAAC